This 274-nucleotide ribosomal RNA is filed under the name uncultured bacterium. RNAcentral describes it as "partial 16S ribosomal RNA". It matches the Rfam family "Bacterial small subunit ribosomal RNA", at positions 523 to 796 of the family's 1533-position model. The record is from RNAcentral.
AUACGGAGGGUGCAAGCGUUACUCGGAAUCACUGGGCGUAAAGCGCGCGCAGGCGGUCUUUUAAGUUGGAUGUGAAAGCCUACGGCCCAACCGUAGAACUGCAUCCAAAACUAUUAGACUAGAGUGUGGGAGAGGAAGAUGGAAUUAGUUGUGUAGGGGUAAAAUCCGUAGAGAUAACUAGGAAUACCAAAAGCGAAGGCAAUCUUCUGGAACACUACUGACGCUGAGGCGCGAAAGCGUGGGGAGCAAACAGGAUUAGAAACCCUUGUAGUCC